AUGGACGUAGGCGCGGUACGUGUUACACAGUCGGUCGAGUCAAGAAGCAUCUCAAGUGUGUACGGUGCAGGGUUGCUGUCUGGACCGGAAGAAAAGCAUGGGAUGGCAUGCAUGGUUUGGACAUGUAUAAAAGUGACUGUCAGAGGUCGACGGAUCGGGCAAAUCGACCCAUCAUCUGCAGGCAAUAUGCUGCCUUCUACGGCAACAAGAAGGGGGGAGCAAAGUCAGUUGUGUCUUCGUCUUCCUCUUGGUGAUCUCGAUCGAACUAGCCAACCACGUGUUGUACGUAGCACGUACGUACAUGGACAGUGGACACCCGCCAUACGCAAGGCCGCGUCGCAUCGGCCAGCCGUGUGGACGAUAUUAUUAGAUAGAUAUAUUGCUGGGAUGUUGAUGACACGGAGACAUGUAUCUGCUAUCUGCCUGAUGGGAGUCGAUCGAUCGAACGAGCGAACGAACGGCAGAUGCGCUCCUCCCGAGCUUCUGGGGACGGUGGGGUGCGGCCUGAAAGUGAAAAUUGACCCGGAAAGCGCCGUGUGUGGAGGCCCUGCGCUCGCCGCUCGGGUAGCUUCUCGUAGCGUCGCCGUCGACGGCGUCUUUUUGACCGGACGCGGCCGCCUAACAGCACUCGCCACAGCACGCUGGAUUUCCCCCAUCCAUCAGCCCAUCGAAUCAUCCAUUCCAUCCAUCUCUGGAGCCGGGACUGGUGGUGAUCAACCUGCAUUUCGGACACUUAGGAGAUCCGCAUCUGCACGCGGACGCACGCUAGCAGACAGUAAUAAGAUACCAAGAUUCCGGAGUCCCCUGCUAGCCGGCCGUCGUUUCCACCCGAUUUGCUGA
RNAcentral lists this ribosomal RNA (840 nucleotides) under Triticum aestivum (bread wheat). RNAcentral's name for it is "partial small subunit ribosomal RNA". The record is from RNAcentral. Lineage: Eukaryota; Viridiplantae; Streptophyta; Magnoliopsida; Poales; Poaceae.